AACGCGAAGAACCUUACCAGCCCUUGACAUGUCCGGGACCGGUCGCAGAGAUGUGACCUUCUCUUCGGAGCCCGGAACACAGGUGCUGCAUGGCUGUCGUCAGCUCGUGUCGUGAGAUGUUGGGUUAAGUCCCGCAACGAGCGCAACCCCCGUCCUUAGUUGCUACCAUUUAGUUGAGCACUCUAAGGAGACUGCCGGUGAUAAGCCGCGAGGAAGGUGGGGAUGACGUCAAGUCCUCAUGGCCCUUACGGGCUGGGCUACACACGUGCUACAAUGGCGGUGACAAUGGGAUGCUAAGGGGCGACCCUUCGCAAAUCUCAAAAAGCCGUCUCAGUUCGGAUUGGGCUCUGCAACUCGACCCCAUGAAGUCGGAGUUGCUAGUAAUCGCAGAUCAGCAUUGCUGCGGUGAAUACGUUCCCGGGCCUUGUACACACCGAUAGC
This 441-nucleotide ribosomal RNA is filed under the name uncultured bacterium. Its description in RNAcentral is "bacterial SSU rRNA". It matches the Rfam family "Bacterial small subunit ribosomal RNA", at positions 958 to 1397 of the family's 1533-position model. The record is from RNAcentral.